This 598-nucleotide ribosomal RNA is filed under the name uncultured Methanomicrobiales archaeon. RNAcentral's name for it is "bacterial SSU rRNA". It matches the Rfam family "Archaeal small subunit ribosomal RNA", at positions 319 to 922 of the family's 1478-position model. Lineage: Archaea; Methanobacteriati; Methanobacteriota; Methanomicrobia; Methanomicrobiales. The record is from RNAcentral.
GGCCCUACGGGGCGCAGCAGGCGCGAAAACUUUACAAUGCGAGCAAUCGUGAUAAGGAAACCCNGAGNGCCNGUCAANGCAGGCNGUUCUGGNGUCUAACACACACCAGGAGAAAGGGCGGGGCAAGACCGGUGCCAGCCGCCGCGGUAAUACCGGCUGCUCGAGUGAUAGCCACUUUUACUGGGCUUAAAGCGUUCGUAGCUUGGUCGUUAAGUCUCUGGGGAAAUCUUUUGGCUCAACCAAAAGGCGUCUCAGGGAAACUGGCGAUCUUGGAACCGGGAGAGGUAAGACGUACUUCGGGGGUAGGAGUGAAAUCUUGUAAUCCCCGAGGGACAACCGAUGGCGAAGGCAUCUUACCAGAACGGCUUCGACAGUGAGGGACGAAAGCUGGGGGAGCAAACCGGAUUAGAUACCCGGGUAGUCCCAGCCGUAAGCGAUGUGCGUUAGGUGUGUCAGUGACCACGAGUCGCUGAGGUGCCGAAGGGAAACCGUGAAACGCACCGCCUGGGAAGUACGGUCGCAAGGCUGAAACUUAAAGGAAUUGGCGGGGAGCACCACAACGGGUGGAGCCUGCGGUUUAAUUGGAUUCAACGCCGGA